CAAACAAAUAUCCCAUGGGACUACAAUAAUCCCAUGGACAAAAAAAAUCCCAUGGGAUUUAACCAAAAUCCCAUGGGAUAUGGUAAAUCCCAUGGAUUUUGCCCUGUCCCAUGGGAUAUUUG
Molecule: small RNA, 122 nt
Filed under: Mytilus galloprovincialis (Mediterranean mussel)
Lineage: Eukaryota; Metazoa; Mollusca; Bivalvia; Mytilida; Mytilidae
Source: RNAcentral